GUGCCAGCCGCCGCGGUAAGACSAACCGYGCGAACGUUGUUCGGAAUCACUGGGCUUAAAGGGCGCGUAGGCGGGCAAGCAAGUCCGGGGUGAAAUCUUUCGGCUUAACCGGAAAAGUGCCUUGGAUACUGCUUGUCUGGAGGGAGGUAGGGGCAUGUGGAACUUCCGGUGGAGCGGUGAAAUGCGUUGAUAUCGGAAGGAACGCCGGUGGCGAAAGCGACNUGCUGGACCUCUUCUGACGCUGAUGCGCGAAAGCUAGGGGAGCGAACGGGAUUAGAUACCCCGGUAGUCCUAGCCCUAAACGAUGGGUACUAGGUAGUGGACUUAACAUGGGUUCACUGCCGAAGCAAAAGUGUUAAGUACCCCGCCUGGGGAGUAUGGUCGCAAGGCUGAAACUCAAAGGAAUUGACGGGGGCUCACACAAGCGGUGGAGCAUGUGGCUUAAUUCGAGGCUACGCGAAGAACCUUAUCCUGGGCUUGACAUGUGCGAAAGC
This 494-nucleotide ribosomal RNA is filed under the name uncultured bacterium. RNAcentral describes it as "bacterial SSU rRNA". It matches the Rfam family "Bacterial small subunit ribosomal RNA", at positions 505 to 997 of the family's 1533-position model. The record is from RNAcentral.